Molecule: long non-coding RNA, 2362 nt
Filed under: Salvia miltiorrhiza (redroot sage)
Lineage: Eukaryota; Viridiplantae; Streptophyta; Magnoliopsida; Lamiales; Lamiaceae
Description: long non-coding RNA (SMIL_LNC007676)
Source: RNAcentral
UUUUUUUUUUUUUGCGUUUAAUUAUAACUUACAAUGUCUUACUUUUAUGCUUAUUUAUUUAAAAUAUUAUUUAAAAAAUAACGAUCGUCGUGCAACGCACGGGUGGGUGUACUAGUUAGAUGAGCAAACGAAUUAAAUCUACUGAUUUAAUUUAAAAUUAUUUUACAGUCCAUCGAUAUUAAUAUCGAGCAGAUACAUCGUCACACACAUUACAAUAUUCAGAUUUAGAACUUCCAAAACACAAGGAUUUUAUUUCAUAUAUCCACCACAAUUUUUACAACCUAUCUAUUACAAUUAUCUCACAAGUUCCUAACCCACAAUUUUUUUACACCAUCUGCCAUCAAUGAGAAAAAAAAGAAAGCAAAGAAGGAAAAAAAAUGGGGGGAUAAGAGGCGUGCUGUUACAGCUGCAGCUGCAGCCCCUUCCCUCCUAUCCCCUCCUCCCUACACCCUACCCCUACUCCUUAGCAUGCUCCAGCAGCCGCCCAACUGUUCCAAUUCCCCUGCCACUACACCCUACCACCUACUUAGCACAAUCAAGUGCAAGCAACCCUUUGCCUUCUCUUUAGUCUCUAAUACCAGCCAACAUCAAACUCCAGCCAACAAUUUCUUCACACUCUUCACUUAAGGAUUCCAAGAAUAGCAGAAAUCUGCAUUCCCUACUCUGCUGCCAACAUUCAAGUUUUUCCAGUCCAAAAAUACCUUAACAACCAAAGAAACAAGGGGGAGCAUUUAUUCACUGCCCUGCGGCCAUCUUAAGGUGAGUUUUGGCUACAUUCUUCCAUCUUAUACCUAGCAUCACCUGCAUAUAUAUUGAAAAGACAAAAACUGCUAAAUUAUUUCAGCCAUUCCAGUUCGUUAAACUCAGCGACAGCGACAAACAGCCAACCAACAUUCAUUCUCAAGGUAUUAAUUCUAUUUCAGAUAUCCAUUCUAGUAAGCAUUCAUACCAAGCAUAAUCAGUUCCAGAUGAUAUAAGACUCACAUAAGCAUGAUAGACAUAACAGACGCAGACUUUAUCAUAUAGAACACCAACCUACUAUUGUUUGAACAAGUAGUCAAUAAGAAAUUCGAGUCAAACGAGCAUAGUAUGAGUCACAUGCGAAUGAGAGUUUAGACUGCAUCUGUUUAUAUUUUGUCGUUGAGAACCGAAAAGGAAAAGAAGGAGCAAGAUGUCUACUUAGCUUUAGGAAGGAGUGGGCGACUGCCCUGCUUCGAAUCGGGAAGACGGCGCGACGACGGAGCCUCCAUUGACGUCGGAACUAAAGAGUCGCAGGAGGUGGCAGACAUCGCCUACUCGCUGGAAUCGUACAACGGCAACGACCGGGACGAUUCUGACUUAGGCAUUUAGGACUUCCUUUUUCUCACCCCCUUCUUUCGGCUUGUGAGAUACGAUGGAGAGAGAGAGGACGGAUGGACGGCGACUGUAAAUCGCCGGGUUUACAGAACGCCGGGGCGCCGAGCAGAGAGGGAGACGGUUCAAAAUCAAAGGGGGAAAUUAGGGCUGCUCGUUUGGGGAUCCCCCAUUAAAUUGAGGAAGGAGGGAGGACGAACGAAGGCGGCGGCCUCAGAGACGCAGACGACGGCCGUUCGCCGGACACCCAAUUGCAGCGGCGACGGCGACCUUCAAUUCGUGAAUUAGGGCUCGCUCUCCUCGCCUCGGACGAUGUCACGACCAGACCUAAUUAAGGAUAAUUAAGUCGGGGAAACCAUGACUAAGGGAGGGAGAUUAGAAGCGGGAAUAGAAAGGGGUGAAUAAAUAAUGAAGGCUCGAAAUCAAAUCAUUGUUAAGGAGGGACAAUCAUAAGAUAACUGUUGUUUAGUCGCAAGGACUCGAUUAACUCGUAAGUUCGGAUGAACCCGACUUAGCUUAAAGACAUAUUACUUGAGAGUAUGCAGCGGAAUAACAUAAUCUGAUUACAUGUAUGAAGACAUGUAUCCAAGAGUCCAUUUAUUAAACUUAUGACAAAAGCUCCGCUCAUCACUUCAUCUUCAUCAGCCAUUGCUCAACCUGCACAUUUAGAAAUAUAUGCAGGGCUGAGUACAAAAGUACUCAGUGGGCACGUAUGCCUAAGUAUAAAAAUACAUGCUUCAAAAACUGUAAAUUGUCAUGCCAUCAUAAACAGUACAGCAAGGGAGUUUUUCGCUAAAAGGCCCAAGCUUACUAAAUUCAUUUGUGAUUCUUAAAGUUGGUCUGCAGACUAAGUUCUCUUGUAAUCUAUCAUAUCUGGAACUGUGUGCCGGAGAGGUGGCCACCUCUCACGGUCACUUGACCGGCCAACCCGCUAGAUGACUCACGGUCAUUGGUGUACACUAGCCCUGGCAGGAUAGCUAUCAACUGCUCAGGACCCGAAUUCGAUUGC